UGGUAUAAUAAAUAGUUGUUCUUCAGUUACCUGCUGAGUAUUACAGGUUGGAUUCAUCAGGGAAUUAGGCACAGAGUAUCAUGAGGAGAAGACAAUAUUUAAUGAGUGUGAGGAGUGAAUGAUGUCACUCUUGCUGGGGGGGUGGUUCAGGGCUGAGUAAAGCACAAGUUAAGUCACUGCAGGUGUGCAGCUUAAUGACCUGCAACCGAGUAGCAAGUGUGCAUGAACUGAGAGCACAGAGGGCAUGUUUGGGAAUGUUAUUACUGUCGAGGAGCUGAAGUAAGUCGAUGGAUGUGUGAGCGACACUCUGGGGAAGGUGCUCAGUAAUGCUUGGAACUUAAGAGAACCUUGUUUCCAUUUUGUGACCAUCACUGUGGAUCUGGGUUUAUUUUGGAUCAGCUAUUUUCUCGGCCUUAAAAUGGGAUACUCAACGACCUCAAUUAAGGAAGUCUGCUAAGGGACAUGAGACCCCUUUGUUUACUGUCUCAUGAAAAUAUCUUCAUAUUGGCAAGCCAUUAAAAAGAAUAAAAGGGUGGAAGGAAGAGGCAAGACAGCUGAGAUAUCUGGAAACCUGUGUCCCCACCCAGCUUUCUGGGUUACAGAAAGGCUGAUCUAUAGCCCUGAAGCAAAGAAGAAGCUGUACACCAAAAGCUGGAAAAGUGGCUUACAUUUUAAGAGGAAUUCUCCAAAUCAGAAGAUCCCACCUGUGGUAACACUCAUGGAGUACAAAUUAUGUGCAGUGGGCGUUCAUGUGGAAAAUCUGUAUGGCUAAAGCAUCCUGGCAAACCACAGUUCCUGCUGGGUGAGUUAAGAGUCUGUCUUGAAGGAAUGAGGGAUUCAAAACUCCCCAUGCAGUAUAUGUACCUGCAGCUGUGCACAACCUGUGAGACCUGAUGGCUGCCAGCUCCCCUGCCCAGGAAGGGACACUGACAACCUACUGAAGAGUUUACAAGGACAGAAACUAAUCCAGUGCUGACUUUUGCUUUCACAGAAGAAAGGAAAGAAAAUCUAGGUUUCCAUUACAAAACGGACAUGAGGAUUUCCCUGUUUGCUCUCCAGAAUUUUCUUAAGCCUGAUAUUUUGAAUCAAUGAGUUGAACAGAAACAGGAUCAUUGUGGAUCACAAAUGAGGAACCAGAUACAUAUGGAAUUGAUGAGGUGAUUAACAUCACUUUCUUGUACAUGUUGAAGAAAAUCUAUAUCCUGCACAGAAGUGUCUGUUUUGAUGGGAACACUCACCACCUAUCCCACAGCUUCUUUACAUGGUUUCAGCAGGAAAAAAAAUUACAGUUUCUAUCUACGAUAGUCAUUAGAAAUCAUAUUUAACAAGGAACAAAAGGCCCUAAGUCAAGCUGUGAAUGCCCAGAGACAUCCCAGCCUUGCUAGCAGGAUGUGCUUUCACACAUGCACUUGGCAGCAGCCAGUGGAAGCAGUCCCAUGACUCCCACCCCUCUCUCCCAGCCCCGUGCCGUCCUUGACCAUGCCUAGAAGGAUUAUUUCUGUGACUGUGCAAUGAGCUGGCUCAGUGGACAGGUCUUAGUUAAAGAUCAUUCAGGAAAAAAAUAAAAGACAAAAAUAGAAAGAAAAAAGUUAUUUUUCAGCCUGGCUGCCCAGGUGGCAGAAGCAGGUUCCUGGCAGUGCAUCCAGGGAUGCUCACAUCCCCAGCUGCUUGCAGCAGCUCCUGUGAAACUACAGCCUCACUGCAAAACUCCUCUUCUGAGGAACAGGAAAGAGUGAGGGGCUUGCUGUUAGCUCACUUUAUCCACCCUGGUGUUUCCUGACAUGGAAGAGCACCAAGCUGGUUCAGGGGAGCUGGAAAAGGGAUUGUGUGAUGAUGGAAAUGAUGGUAGUGCCAGCCCCAAGCAUUCAGAGAUCCUGAGUUGGGCUGGCAGAAGUCAUAAGGUCUUUUAAAAUAAGAAAGGUAGUAUUUCUUUUAAUUCUUGCUGCAGUCUUAACCUUUAGGGUACAUGAAAUACCGACUGCACAUCUUCUUAGACUUUUCAGAAGGACUAUAUUGAUACAACCACAAACCAAGAUUUACAUACUGCUCAGAUAAUAUAACCACCCUUUUCUUGGUGGUUCUUUAUCUAUCCAGCAUAUCUGACCCUUAUGUAUCAGAAAACUGAAUCUGACCGUGAUAACUUAAACAAAAAUUACCAGGCUGCUGUGGAGGGCACAUGCUGCCUGGGGCUGGCCAUGAUUCCUUGCUGCCAGCUCCAGGUGAGCAGUGAGGUCCCUGAGCUGCAGGCACCUGCAGGCACCCAGUGCUGGUGAGUGAGCUCCCAGGCCACUGACCUGCUGGAGUGCCACACACCCCAUUUUGGGUCACCUACUGCUACAGAGCCUGCCCAGUAAGUUGUCAUCAGGAAAUAAGGAAAUACUUUUCCCUUGCACUCUGCUGAUUUAAUUUGGCAAAUCCUCUGAAGAUCAAAACCUCCCAUGAACCAGUAGAAGUUUCAGAUUAUGUAUAUCUCCUCUUGGGUUUAUGGGUGAUCAGAGAAUGCCCAUAUGCAUUAUAUAUUAUGCAUUUGAGGUAUUUUGACAGAGUUGGAAAAUCAGCUAUCAGGAGAUGGUUUCACAGCUCAGCACUGCUGAUGGUCUGAGAGAAAUCACAAGAAUUAUUACACUGGGUGAAAACCUGCAGCUCAGCACAUGCACACCUGCCAAUACAUACACACAGAUACAUAUCUUACAUUGAGAUAUGCAGCUUUUACUACCAUAAUUUAAGUGUCAACAUUCUUCUUCCCUCCCCGCCAGUGUGUUCUCACACUGCUUGGCCCCAUGCAGGCCUGUCCAAAAGCCUGCUAAAAGAAAACAAACACUGAUUUCAGGUGGAUGAAUACGUGAUUCCCAGCCAAAACCACUUUGCCUUGCACAGUACUUCUGUUUUGCAUUGUGAGUCAUUCCAUGUACCUGUGAACAAUGGACUAAGCAGUCACAGCCUGUUUAAUGCAGGAUCUGGCCACAUCAGUGCAGAGGGAAUCACUGGGUUCCCAUGCUGGGAGGGCAGUGGUGCAGUGACCUCAGCCCCAAAGAUGUAAAUGUCUGUAUCAGAUGUGAGGUGAAGGAGUUUGUGCUGGGUUUCUUCAUCUGGGAGAAGCAAAGGUAUCAGACACUCAAAGGACUUUUGAACUACAUUUUAUUUGUAUUUGUUUGGCACAAAAACGAGCACAAUUCUGGCCAGUCUCCACAAGUGAAACUGUUAAUAAUGCCUAACACCAGGUAUGAUCAUGCAGUGGAGCCGAUCCAUUGCUCUCACCAGAUGCAGUGCAAGGCUGGCACCGGCGGUUCGGGGUGGCUGAGGAAGGUGCAGUGCAGGCUGCAGCAACCUGGCUUCCUUUUCUCUCCAAAAAGCUGCCAGAACUCUGUGCAUUCAGGACUCUUUCUGUCCUGUGAUGCUCUGAUGGACAUGCUAUUUUAUGGAAGUGUUAGAAGUAUGGGCAGAUUCGUUCACCUCAACUUCACCGGUUUGCCCCCAACAAAAGUGUCUCAGACCCCUAAAACCCCCCUGGUGCUCAGCAGCUCUGACCUUUGCCUGGGCACUGCCACAGAACAACCUCUUCCAUACAAACCCCCAGCAGGAGGGAUCCUCAGAAGCCUCCUCUGCCCCCCCCCUCAGGCACCAUCUCUGCAACAGAAACUGCAUUUUUCCUACCAAAAUGCUGGUUUUGCAGAUGAAGGGGUUUUGUUUUGAUGCUUACAGAAACUUGUGAAAGAAAUGAACAGCAGGAAAUCCUAGCUGGAAUAGUAAUGCAAAUAGUAAUAACACCAAUAAAAAGAAAACUUUCACAUUCAGCCAAAUGUCUGCUCUAAAUGACAGCAGUAAGGAAAUAGAUAUAUUUAUAUGGGUGUAACAUACAGUUAUGUGUGGGUGGCUGUGUCUGAGCUAUAGUGCAGGGAUGGCAUGGCAGGUCUAACAGUGAUUCUCAUCCUCAGUUCAUAUUUUGCAAGGCAAUCAACUUAAAACCAACUAUGAUGGUAACACAGUUCCACAGUAUGACUGCAGGACAUAAUUCUCAGAGACAUAAUAAAUAAAUUUCAUCUUAUUUUAUAGAAUUGGAAAACCUGCAGUUUAGAAACACACUAUACCAUGUGUGCAGCACUUUCAAUACAUGCUCACAUUCCAGUUCACUUACUAAUGGGCAUGUGGGCAAAUGCAAAGUCUUUCCCUAAAUCAACACAGUGUUGCACAGACCAGUCGCCUGUACAGAGCCAUUGCCAAAUAUGUUACAUGGAACUUUUCCAGUAUUUCUGUAAAAUGAUGCUAUUUCAGUGUAUGUAAAUUUAAAUUUAGCAAAUUCACCUCAUGGCAAUGUAGUACUCUACAGUCAGUACUUUAGGGAAUAUUUGGUGUUAAUGUCUUCAGUAAAAGAGCUUUAAUUACCUCCAUCCCAGUGCUGGCUGAUGUGGAGGUUAUUCUCUCCACUUUUCCAAGAAAAGUAUAAUACUUGUUAUUUAGAAAAUGAAAAUACAGGUUAUUCUGCAUGCCCUACAAGUUAAAAAACUCAGGCUGUGUCAGGUAAAUAGGGAGAGCAGAUCACCAAUACAGACUCUGAGCAGAAAACACACAAUACACAGCUUGCUGGAGCUCAGGGCUCAAUCUUUUCAUCUAGUAAAGAAAAAAAAACAAAAAAACAAACCAAAACCACUGAUUCCAGCACUGUAGUGGCAGACCCAACUAUGAAAGAGCUGAAACACCUUUCUGAUUUCAUUUGUUGUGGCAUAUGUUCUAGGGAAGGGCAGGAGCAGCAAGUUAUCAAAUCCUAAUUAAUAGUAAAGUUGGAGGUAUUUUAAUGCAUUUUCUCUGUGCAUGUCAAGUGUCAGGUCCAAAGCAGCUCCAAAAUCCUUACUAAUGAAAAAUCUCAGACUAAAAUAUCCAUAUAUUGGUUCUCUGACUGCUCUGACUGACACAGUACUAACCUGAACCUGCACGACUCCAUUUUGUUUUAAUAUUUUAUACAAAUGGAAAUCCUUUAGCAUGAGAAUGAAGACAACAUCCUGAAAACAGGAAUAAAGUUGUCUAUUAAGAUGCAAAGAUAAAUGCAAACUGUUUGCUUCAUUUUCUCUUCUUUGAGUUACAAAUUUCUUGCUGUCAUGAAAAACCUUUUCAUCUUUCCUGAAAUUCAUCACUGUGGCACUUGGCUGACAAAUGUAUUCAUCACAGUAGUGUAUUUCCCAGAGAUUCCUGUCUUCUGCCUCAAGCAUUUUAUUCCUUUAGAUGAUAAAAGUAUUUUUCUGAGAAGAGUUUACAUACAUACCUGUGUGGCUGUAGGCUCACGCAUAUCAUCAAAGUAUUCAAAAAAAAUCAUACUUCCAAGAAAAAAAUCAGCUUUAAGGAUGGAUAUUCUUUAUGACAGAAUCUUAUUUCCAUGAUGGCUGCACAGUGAUCAUCUUUCCACCGUGUUUGGACAGUGAAAUGCUCUCUGCUGUAGCAGUUAAGGAGCAGACAAGUGUAUUUUAUGAACUUAAAAGUCUUUUUGGAGGUUCUCAACGUGUGGCAAUGCAGCUACAUUACUACGUUUGGAUGUGUAAUAGCCAAUUACCUGAGAUGGCAUCAGGCAACACAUUAUUACUAGGUAAGAAUACGUGUGUAUAGCUACUGCAUUUUGGUUUAUAUAGCUGUCCUGAGGGGAAUGAGAGCUGAGAAAGUUGACCAUUACUGCAGCAAUACUGUGGUAUUGGAAAAAUAAACUUUUCUUCACCUUCACUUUUCCUUAUAGACACUGUUCCCUUUUUAAUGGCACCUACUCCCAGAGUGUUGGGUGUGAAAGGGAAUUUGUGAAAGCAGAACCUCAACUUGUCCUCCUUUCUGAACUCAUAUUGUGUUACAUGUAGCUAAUUUUCAGAAGUUUCAUUUCCAGUAGAAUUUGGCUAGUGGAAAAAAUGUCUCUUCCCUUGGUUCCCUACCCUCACCCUGGUGACCACUUCAAUGCUUUAUAGCCAAAUACGUAAAAUAUUCACUGGAACUACUUUCCCACAAUUGAAACCAAACCAAUCUGAAAGCAAAAACCAGAGGAUAUAGUCAAUAAGUGAUCUUCAUCUCAUCAGGAGAGGAAAUUUAUGUAUGCAGAAAUCCUCUUUUCUAAACAGGCAGCUGGUUGCAAUAUUGAAUUAUAUCAUCCACCAUCAGAAAGUAAGGGGUUUGGGUGCCCAGAAAUUUGUCAUUCAGAAGUGAGAUCCUCUAUUUUGCUUCUCACAUGAAAAUUGGCAUUUCCAUUUUAAUACUUUCACUACUUCCACUUAAUACAAAACUGGUGAAACGCAUUUCAACAAAAUAUCCCUGUGUAGCAGGUGAAACCUCCCAACAAGACUUCUGUGGUGCAUAAAGCUUUCAGCUAGCCAACGUGACUGACCAAAACUCAUCCCCUCUCAUUAGGUUUAGGUGCUUCACGUUGGGUGUUAGUCUUUAAAGAACUGGCCAAGCCAGAAAAAAUAAUUUGCAAAAUCACAUCCCACUGGAGUUUCCAGUUAUUCAAUACUGUCCACUCUGGUAUACAAUGAGCCUGAAAAACUCCCAAAAUCUUUUGAGGCAUUUGGUUAUUUAUAUAAACAAAGCAGAGUAUUUUGUUGAAUAAAUAAAAUGUAAGUAAAAUAUUCUAUUUCUUUUAUAUUAAGAAAUAUGUAAGAAAAUAUUCUAGUCCAUAAGCACUAAUCCAAGGUAGUUCGAUGUGAGAAUUUAUAAAGGUGCUGAUAUUCACUGUGUUUUAAGAAUAAAUCAUCUUGGGGUGGGCUAACAGCAGAAAAUAUGUUAAUUAUGUUUUUCUUUCUCUUUCCAUGUCUCAGGUAAUUUUAAAAAUAAAA
Passer montanus (Eurasian tree sparrow) is the source of this 6800-nucleotide long non-coding RNA. RefSeq lists it as uncharacterized. The record is from RefSeq and is a predicted model, not a curated record. The transcript has 6 exons. Lineage: Eukaryota; Metazoa; Chordata; Aves; Passeriformes; Passeridae.